Molecule: non-coding RNA, 103 nt
Filed under: Austwickia chelonae
Lineage: Bacteria; Bacillati; Actinomycetota; Actinomycetes; Micrococcales; Dermatophilaceae
Also listed under: 1 other name
Description: Glycine sequence
Rfam family: Glycine riboswitch aptamer
About the family: This family represents the bacterial glycine riboswitch. Glycine riboswitches usually consist of two metabolite-binding aptamers domains with similar structures in tandem. The aptamers cooperatively bind glycine to regulate the expression of downstream genes.
Source: RNAcentral
UCAUGUCGCACGGGAGAGUCUCGACCGGCCUCAGCGUCGAGGUCGAGCGCCGAAGGGGCAAGCAUCCCCGGAACCUCUCAGGCACCCGGACCGUGCGAUCAGG